AUGUUUAAAUCAGACAAUAUAAAUCUGGAGCUACCAUGUAGAGAGAUCCUGGAUAGUAGUGAAGUAGAAGCAUAAGAAAAAGAUGUACAGUGGCCAAAUUCUGAUGACAUUUGCUUGAAUUACUUGGUCUAUUUAGCUAGGGCUAUUCCAGGCUCUCCAAGUAGAUGAGCUGAUAUGUUAAGUUUUCAUAUACUUGUCAUUAUAAAAAUAACUAUCACUACCUGACAGAGCAGCUGGUGUACUGGAGAUGCUCAGAAAACAUUCACUGAAAAAAUUACGUGGAGUCCUUACAAACUGAUGUUUGUCUAUGUGCCAAAGUCUUAAAACCCAAAUCAAAAAGACAAUCAGGUCUCACACUCUUCCCUUGCAUUUUAAGACAGUCCUGAAGACAGAACUUUAUCUUCUCGUCCAGCACAUGAGCCAUUCAGAGGGAAGAUGCUUUGUGGGUGAAUAAUGUAGGAGAGCCAAGUCUGAUGUUUUCAUGGUGUUGAAAACAUAGGACGAGUCUGCCGAUUUUUUCAGUCUGUCUGCUAAACCGCUCCUAAGCAUCAUUUGACAGAUUCUGUGGGGCUGGGGGGUGAGGAGGGUAUGUUUGGAAUACUGUGUCCUACUUUGCAUGAAAAAUGAGAACAGAGUUUUCCUUUCUUGUGCCCUUCAUUUUUGCUUUUCUAAAUUCAUCUGGCCCUGAAUACCCUCCCGCAACAAUGGAAGACACUUUUUGGAGUUUCUGAAAUGCUCACCAUUAUUUCUUUAGUUUUCAUCUGACUCAGAGCAAUGGACUCAUAGAAGCCAUGCUAGGGAAUUUCACAGCCAACUGGACCUGGAGUGAGAGCUGAAGUCAGUUAGGUCAAUGUUUCCCAGGAAUUUGGAAUUAGAGCAGAGAGCUAGAGAAUGGAAUGUAUUCAGUCACCCCACUUGUCCAGAACUUCAACAUGUGUCCCUGGGAGCUGUGUGUGGGCAUCUUUCUCCCACCAUGUGGAAUGAGGAGCAGAGAUGAGUCAUCAAAAAAAAAAAAAAAAAAAAAGGCAACAGAUGUGCAGAUACAAGCAGAGUUGGAGACAGUGUAUGCUCCGCUUUCUGCCUUCCCUCAAAGUUCACUCUUCUGGUCUUUUCCGAGCCCUCGCUGCAUUCCUACUCAUCAUUCCAUUGUAAUAUCAUUGCAUCUGUAUGGCAGAGCCUUAUUUUUGAUGAAGCUAACCCAAUGUGAUUUUUGUUCCAAGCAAGCAAACAAACAAAAACAAACCUUACUCAUGAGCCAAAAAAAUUAAGGUGGGGAAUUACCUAGGUGAGAAGAAAUAUCCCAGUUGAGAGAAACAAAACAAAAAUCACCGAAAAGAAUCAGGGACAAUCAUUCUAAAAAUCGUGAACAAGAUGUUUCUCCACACUUGGAGACAUGGAGAACAGACUUGUGGUUGCCAAGGAGGAUGGGGGAGGAAGUGGGAUGGACUGGGAGUUGGUGGUUAAUAGAUGCAAACUAUUACAUUUAAAAUGGGUUUAUAACAAUGUUCUACUGUACAGCACAAGGAACUAUAUCCAAUCUCCUGGGAUAGACUAUGAUGGAAAACAAUAUUAAAAAAAGAAAAGUAUGUGUCUGUGUAUAUUCCUAUAUAUAUGAAUGACUGGGUCACUUUGCUGUACAGCAGAAAUUGGCACAACAUUGUAAAUCAACUAUAAUUUAAAUCUUUCUAAUCUGUGCAGAGCUAAAAUAGAACGGCUCUGCUCCAUGGAUUCACAGAGUAGCUGAAAGGGAAUUCCUUUCUGAGUGUUCAGCCUAUAGCUGAGCCCUGAAAUGUGUUCCCUGUUAAAAAUUCCUCUCCAAGUCCUCUCCCAUGACUUCAUGAAGUUGUCUGCGCACACGAGUGACUCUCCAGCUCAGACAUGUCAUGUUUGCAUCACUGCUGAUGUGGAGACAAGUGCUUAGAUGGUCCAUUAAGGAAAUGUCCCUUAGAAGUCUGGAGCACAUUUGGUACUUUGACAGCCCUGCCCUGCCUCUAUAUGGUUGGAAAUCCUAAGCUUGGCUUAUUAAGGAGAAACAGGCACGAUCAUUAUGUCAAACAUAUUAAUAUGUUUUAUUCUGCCAUGGCAUUUGCUUACUGGCAUCUGAUG
Molecule: long non-coding RNA, 2106 nt
Filed under: Sus scrofa (pig)
Lineage: Eukaryota; Metazoa; Chordata; Mammalia; Artiodactyla; Suidae
Description: lncRNA (ENSSSCG00005035828.1)
Source: RNAcentral